CGCGGUGAGCCGCAUAGCUGAACUGCUUUCUGCGUUUCUGCUUGGCGGCCAGCGCGAGUUGCUUUGUGUCCCGGGCCGGGAGGGAACGUAUCGGGAGGAGCGGGGAGCUCCACGGCGUGCCAACCGAAGAAGAUGCCGAGCUACACAGGAAAGAAAAACCUUCUUUGUGAUGUAUUUCAUCUCCGCGGCCACAGACGGGUUGUGGAGUCGGCAGUUGAUCGAUUUGUUUCCCCUAAAGAUCCUCGGUUGAGUGGGAUUGGUGACAAAGCCUUGGUUCUGUUUAUAUGGGCCCCCGGUGACCUGAGGGUAUUUGAGCUGCCCUUCGGGGGCCAGUGAUCAGAAUGCUCUGUGUUAUGACCACGAGCACCAUGGAAGGGGUUAAGACUCGGUCGGUCUGCGAGGCCUUCAACACACUGGAGGAUCUGCCGUUCCCUCUGCGAGGAUCACAAACCGACAACCUGCCACCCCUCAGUGGCCAAUGAAAAGUACCAAUCGAUCGUUACCUGAAGCCAAACGUUCAAUCGAGACCAAUCCGGUCUGUAGAGGUCGUAUCUUCUGUGCUCACGUGGGCUAUUCUUUUCUUCACCUUUUCUAUCAAUAUAGAAUUUUUUCCCUCUCUAACCUGCCGUCUCCUGCACAUUUUCACUGUGUUUUUGGUUUACAAGAAAUCUUAACUUAAAUAUUUUAUAAAGUUCAGUUCGGAGCAUCGAAAUGUUACUUCAUACACAGCUUGCGUCUAUGAGUUUAGGUGAAUGGCUGAUUCAAGGUAGCGCUCUGGUGCAAUUAUUUUAUUAGUCGACGACAUCAAAAAGUAUUUGUCUACUAAGAAUGUGUCUUGAAUAAAG
This is a long non-coding RNA of Gasterosteus aculeatus aculeatus (three-spined stickleback), 845 nucleotides long. The record is from Ensembl. NCBI's taxonomy places the organism in Eukaryota, Metazoa, Chordata, Actinopteri, Perciformes, Gasterosteidae.